UGAUAGCAUAGUUGGUACAACAUGAGACUUUUAAUCUCAGAGUCAUGGGUUUGAGUCCCACAUUGUGCAAAA
Molecule: non-coding RNA, 72 nt
Organism: Podarcis lilfordi (Lilford's wall lizard)
Lineage: Eukaryota; Metazoa; Chordata; Lepidosauria; Squamata; Lacertidae
Source: the annotation of a GenBank genome assembly